Long non-coding RNA from Ictalurus punctatus (channel catfish), 527 nucleotides. The record is from Ensembl. Lineage: Eukaryota; Metazoa; Chordata; Actinopteri; Siluriformes; Ictaluridae.
UGAUGAUUAGCUAGUUACUUCAAACUAUAAGAUGUUUUGAUGAUUAGCUAGUUACUUCAAAACUAUAAGAUAUGUUAUAGAUUGCCUAGUUACUUCAAAACUAUAAGAUGUUUUGAUAAAUAGCUAGUUACUUCAAAACUAUAAGAUGUUUUGAUAAUUAGCUAGUUACUUCAAAACCAUAAGAUGUUUUGAUAAUUAGCUAGUUACUUCAAAACUAUAAGAUGUUUUUGAUGAUUAGCUAGUUACUUCAAAACCAUAAGAUAUGUUUGAUAAUUAGCUAGUUACUUCAAAACUAUAAGAUGUUUUUGAUGAUUAGCUAGUUACUUCAAAACCAUAAGAUGUGUUUGAUAAUUAGCUAGUUACUUCAAAACUAUAAGAUGUUUUGAUGAUUAGCUAGUUACUUCAAAACUAUAAGAUGUGUUUGAUAAUUAGCUAGUUACUUCAAAACCAUAAGAUGUUUUGAUAAUUAGCUAGUUACUUCAAAACUAUAAGAUGUGUUUGAUAAUUAGCUAGUUACUUCAAAACUA